UAGAAGACUUUGAAAUUCAAUUCAUU
This 26-nucleotide non-coding RNA is filed under the name Rattus norvegicus (Norway rat). The record is from RNAcentral. Lineage: Eukaryota; Metazoa; Chordata; Mammalia; Rodentia; Muridae.